Molecule: ribosomal RNA, 406 nt
Filed under: uncultured bacterium
Lineage: Bacteria
Description: partial 16S ribosomal RNA
Rfam family: Bacterial small subunit ribosomal RNA
Source: RNAcentral
AUUGAACGCUGGCGGCGGGCCUAACACAUGCAAGUCGAACGAGUGGCGGACGGGUGAGUAAUGUAUGUGAAACUGCCUGAUGGAGGGGGAUAACUACUGGAAACGGUAGCUAAUAACGCAUACCCACAGAUGUGCCCAGUUGGGCUUAGCUUGUUGGUGGGGUAACGGCUCACCAGGGGGACGAUCCCUAGCUGGUCUGAGCGGAUGACCAGCCACACGGGAACUGAAACACGGUCCAUACUCCUACGGGAGGCAGCAGUGGGGAAUAUGGGACAAUGGGCGCAAGCCUGAUGCAGCCAUGCAGCGUGUAUGAAGAAGGCCUUCGGGUUGUAAAGUACGUUUAGCGGGGAGGCGUUACUCGCAGAAGAAGCACCGGCUAACUCCGUGCCAGCAGCCGCGGUAAUAC